AGAAGAAAAGUGGAUUUUACAAUCUAAAGUAAAGAGUAAUGAUCGUUACUCAGUACGAUAGGAUGUUCUGUGAUAUGUCGAGAUAUGCGCCAGAGCAAGUAAACAUGGAUAAAAAAAAGGGGGGGGGGCUGAAAAACUUUGUGCCGCUCUGAGGCACGAGAUUAGGAUGGCUUUGGCAAGCCAUGGUGGAUUGUCUUACACUGCGCUUAGAAGAGCAUUAAACAUUAGGGCAUCGAUGUCGAUAGAAAGACCAGUAAGGAUGCCUAUGCCAACACCUCCACAGGCACAAACUCAGAACAUUUGAGGAAAAAGAAAAGAGGACAACAGUAACAACUGUCAAAAAAAAAAAAAAAACAAAACACCAUGGCAAGGGCAAUCAUUCCAGCAACAAGGCUACAAAAGCCAAAAGGGUACUCCUAGACAGAUAGGAGAUAACCAACAAAGAAUCCUGCCCUGCCCAAAUUGCAACAAGAACCAUGGGAGAUGAUGCAAUAAUGGAAGAGUGGAAGUGAAGGUUGUUACACAGUAGCCAGAAGGGCAUUAUGCAAACCGUUGUUUGAAUAAGGAACAAGGGACGG
RNAcentral lists this long non-coding RNA (578 nucleotides) under Salvia miltiorrhiza (redroot sage). Its description in RNAcentral is "long non-coding RNA (SMIL_LNC011698)". The record is from RNAcentral. Lineage: Eukaryota; Viridiplantae; Streptophyta; Magnoliopsida; Lamiales; Lamiaceae.